Molecule: ribosomal RNA, 381 nt
Filed under: uncultured bacterium
Lineage: Bacteria
Description: bacterial SSU rRNA
Rfam family: Bacterial small subunit ribosomal RNA
Source: RNAcentral
UACGAAGGAGGCUAGCGUUGCUCGGAAUGACUGGGCGUAAAGGGCGCGUAGGCGGAUGACAUAGUCGGGCGUGAAAUUCCUGGGCUCAACCUGGGGACUGCGUUCGAGACGUGUUGUCUUGAGUUCGGAAGAGGGUCGUGGAAUUCCCAGUGUAGAGGUGAAAUUCGUAGAUAUUGGGAAGAACACCGGUGGCGAAGGCGGCGACCUGGUCCGAUACUGACGCUGAGGCGCGAAAGCGUGGGGGAGCAAACAGGAUUAGAUACCCUGGUAGUCCACGCUGUAAACGAUGUGCGCUGGAUGUUGGGUGACCUAGUCACUCAGUGUCGUAGCUAACGCGAUAAGCGCACCGCCUGGGGAGUACGGCCGCAAGGUUGAAACUCA